CUUUUUGGUAGUUUACUACUAGAAAUGACUGAGCGGCGAACGGGUGAGUAACGCGUGAGCAAUCUACCUUAGUUACUGGGAUAGCCCGAGGAAACUCGGAUUAAUACCGGAUAUUCUUAUUUUUUCACAUGAAGUUUUAAGGAAAGGUCAGCCGAACUAAGAUGAGCUCGCGUUCUAUCAGCUAGUUGGUGGGGUAAAAGCCUACCAAGGCUACGACGGAUAGCUGGUCUGAGAGGACGAUCAGCCACACUGGGACUGAGACACGGCCCAGACUCCUACGGGAGGCUGCAGCAGGGAAUAUUGUGCAAUGAGCGAAAGCUUGACACAGCGACACCGCGUGUGGGAUGACGGUUCUAGGAUUGUAAACCACUUUCAGGAGGGA
RNAcentral lists this ribosomal RNA (382 nucleotides) under uncultured bacterium. Its description in RNAcentral is "bacterial SSU rRNA". It matches the Rfam family "Bacterial small subunit ribosomal RNA", at positions 67 to 445 of the family's 1533-position model. The record is from RNAcentral.